AGGAAGGAGAAGUCGUAACAAGGUUUCCGUAGGUGAACCUGCGGAAGGAUCAUUGUCGAUUCCUGCGAUAGCAGAAUGACCCGCUAACACGUAAACACACCGGGCCAGCGUCGGGGGGCUUGAGUCCCCCGUUUGCGAACCCCAGGAAGGUGGGUGCUCUCGGGUGCCCAUCGACCGACGAAACCAACCGGGCGCGGUAUGCGCCAAGGAAAUCAAAACUGAAUUGUACGUCUGCUUCCCGUCCGUGGGAAGAGGCGUCUUUCCGAAACACAAACGACUCUCGGCAACGGAUAUCCCGGCUCUCGCAUCGAUGAAGAACGUAGCGAAAUGCGAUACUUGGUGUGAAUUGCAGAAUCCCGUGAACCAUCGAGUCUUUGAACGCAAGUUGCGCCCGAUGCCAUUAGGUUGAGGGCACGCCUGCCUGGGUGUCACGCAUCGUGUUGCCCCUGACCACUCUCUCCUUGAGGAGAUGAGCCGGUCUGGGGGCGGAUACUGGCCUCCCGUGCCUUGCGGCGUGGCUGGCCCAAAAGCGAGUCUCUGGCGACGGACGUCGUGACAUUUGUGGUUGUAAAAAGACCCUAUUCUCUUGUUGCGCGAAUACCCGUCACCUAAGGGAGCUCGAUGACCCUUCUGCGCCACAAACCGUGUGCGCUCGACUGUGACCCCAGGUCAGGCGGGACU
Molecule: ribosomal RNA, 681 nt
Filed under: Hansenia weberbaueriana
Lineage: Eukaryota; Viridiplantae; Streptophyta; Magnoliopsida; Apiales; Apiaceae
Description: eukaryotic LSU rRNA
Rfam family: 5.8S ribosomal RNA (bases 276-431)
Source: RNAcentral